Molecule: long non-coding RNA, 102 nt
Organism: Sinocyclocheilus anshuiensis
Lineage: Eukaryota; Metazoa; Chordata; Actinopteri; Cypriniformes; Cyprinidae
Exons: 3
Source: RefSeq, a predicted model, not a curated record
CAGGCUUAUUUUUAAGCAGCCUUAAAGUCUGCGUGAACCGGAAAUUGCUGCCGACUUUAUUUCAGUGUAGUGACGUAUUUCCAGCUGAAAUGGAAUAUUGAA